GCAUUGUUGGUUCAGUGGUGGAAUUUUCACCUGCCAUGCGGGAGGACCGGGUCAGAUUCCAGGCCAAUGCA
Molecule: transfer RNA, 71 nt
Filed under: Pangasianodon hypophthalmus (striped catfish)
Lineage: Eukaryota; Metazoa; Chordata; Actinopteri; Siluriformes; Pangasiidae
Description: tRNA-Gly
Source: RNAcentral